This is a non-coding RNA of Drosophila melanogaster (fruit fly), 814 nucleotides long. NCBI's taxonomy places the organism in Eukaryota, Metazoa, Arthropoda, Insecta, Diptera, Drosophilidae. The record is from Ensembl.
AGCAGGCUGCCCAACGCCGGGAACAUCAUGUAAAAUGCGUCCAUCUGGGGAUUGCCAGUGCGGAUGGGAUUAAUGGACGGCAUCUGGCCAAGGAUCUGAAUUGAAAAAUAUAAUCAAGAGGAUUGCAUUAAACAAACUCAAUGAUUAAUUCUCUCUAAUCGUACUCACCUCAUCCUGACUGGGAAUCCUUGGUUUGGUGUCCGUGGUGGAAUUGGUCGUUGAUCCAGCAUCCGUUGCAGGAUCAUCAGAGGUUACUUCACUUUGUCCGGCAGCCUGGACGACAAGAAGCGCCAGGAGCGGCAGAAGGCUAAACAAUCUCAUCCUGUAUUUGGGCAAAACUCGGAAAAAUCGCUAAAGAUCGAUCUGUGUUCGCCGGAGCUCGUUGGCCGACUGACUGCCGACUGCCGCCGGUUAGUGGUCCAAAUAGAUUUUUUGCCACCGCGUCGGCGGCGAAGAACUGCAGACGUCUUCAAAAUCGUGACCCGGACCCGGGUCCGCCACACGCACCGGGGUACGGCCAGUGUUUCCGUGUGUGUGCCCCCAAUUGAAAAACAGACCGCAGCAGCCGUCGCAGCUGCAUUUGCUGCAAAAAACCUUGCCCAACUAUUCCGCUCACCACCAUUUUCCACGAAUUCAGCGCAAAUGAUGCACAGUAGACAGUAUGAACGAAAUCAGGUCUGGAAUCACACGGAAGGCGCCGAAAAUAUACCACAAAGCCGCGAAAUCAAUAGGGGAAGUUAUCUUCACGUCACUCUUUUGCCACUAAUAAUUCUCAACUAAAAAAAAAAAAAACAAACAAUUGAAAUAAAUAUUU